UUACGCAGAGAACAUCACCACCCUGAAGUCAGAGACUAACCCUGAAGGACUCAGCAGGACUAUUUAAAAAACAACUGAGGCAUCAGGCCAACUUUCCCCACAAGUCCUCGGAUCUUUCCCGCCAUGCUGAUGCCAUAUAUUCCAACAUGAUCAACCUGGCCCCCCAGAAGGAGGACGACUUUGCUGUCUAUGCCAACAUGCCCCCUUUUCAUCACCCCAGGAGGACAUCGCCAGACCAAGUGGAAUAUGCCUCCAUUGUAUUCCUGAUGGGAAGCCAACGAGAUGCUCAGAGUGGGGGUCAGACCUGGCCCAGCUGGAUCGUGGCAUACCCUUUGCUUUAGAUUUAUGUGUGUGUU
Mandrillus leucophaeus (drill) is the source of this 356-nucleotide long non-coding RNA. RefSeq lists it as uncharacterized. NCBI's taxonomy places the organism in Eukaryota, Metazoa, Chordata, Mammalia, Primates, Cercopithecidae. The transcript has 3 exons. The record is from RefSeq and is a predicted model, not a curated record.